GUGUCAGCAGCCGCGGUAAUACGUAGGUGGCAAGCGUUGUCCGGAAUCACUGGGCGUAAAGCGCGCGCAGGCGGCGAUCUACGUCUGGGGUGAAAGCCCGGAGCUCAACUCCGGGACUGCCUUGGAUACGGGAUCGCUUGAGGAUUGGAGAGGCAAGGGGAAUUCCACGUGUAGCGGUGAAAUGCGUAGAUAUGUGGAGGAACACCUGUGGCGAAGGCGCCUUGCUGGCCAAUUUCUGACGCUGAGGCGCGAAAGCGUGGGGAGCAAACAGGAUUAGAUACCCUGGUAGUCCACGCCGUAAACGAUGAGUGCUAGGUGUUGGGGGGUACCACCCUCAGUGCCGAAGCUAACGCAUUAAGCACUCCGCCU
This 369-nucleotide ribosomal RNA is filed under the name uncultured bacterium. RNAcentral's name for it is "bacterial SSU rRNA". It matches the Rfam family "Bacterial small subunit ribosomal RNA", at positions 505 to 874 of the family's 1533-position model. The record is from RNAcentral.